Molecule: unclassified non-coding RNA, 368 nt
Filed under: uncultured fungus
Lineage: Eukaryota; Fungi
Description: partial contains small subunit ribosomal RNA, internal transcribed spacer 1, and 5.8S ribosomal RNA
Rfam family: Eukaryotic small subunit ribosomal RNA (bases 1-73)
Source: RNAcentral
CCAAACUUGGUCAUUUAGAGGAAGUAAAAGUCGUAACAAGGUUUCCGUAGGUGAACCUGCGGAAGGAUCAUUAGUGAAUAAACCGGUGUGGGUUGUUGCUGGCCCUCUUGGGGGUAUGUGCACACCUGCCAUCGUUUCAUUCAUCCCUUCCACCUGUGCACUCUCUGUAGACUAGGCUAUCACCCCUUUCAGUUCACCUGUGUUCUGGCUUGAGGACUUGCCAAUCUGGCUGUCCUUGGAUGGUCCUGGUCUAUGUCUUUUACCAACUCUGUAUGUAACUGAAUGUAUGUCCUGGGUCCUGUACCCAUAAAAUCUAUACAACUUUCAACAACGGAUCUCUUGGCUCUCGCAUCGAUGAAGAACGCAGC